This 519-nucleotide ribosomal RNA is filed under the name Triticum aestivum (bread wheat). RNAcentral's name for it is "partial small subunit ribosomal RNA". The record is from RNAcentral. Lineage: Eukaryota; Viridiplantae; Streptophyta; Magnoliopsida; Poales; Poaceae.
AUGGCCCUGGCGGCCAUCUUCGUCUUCCUCCUCGUCUGCGCGGUGCACGUGCUCGAAAGCAUGCUCGAUCUCGCCAAGAAGAGGGGAUCAGUGAGCGAUGAGCAGGUCAAACUACGGGUGGCAAUCACGCAGCUUCUCAAGGAGUCCAGUGCACUGUCAACGCCCUCGACGUUUGCGCAGGCCGCAAAGCUCAAGAGACUGGCUGCUGCUAAAGAGAAGGAACUAGCCAAAUUGCAACAGUCGGACAUUAAGGGGAAGCAGUCUCUACAUGAGAAAUAUGGCAAAGUUCUGAAGGCUACCAAGGUCCUAGUCUAUGGUUUGCUCGUUCUGUCGUUUUGGAGUGCACCUGUAGCUACCGUCCCCAACCAUCUUCUACAGCCCUUCGGAAGGAUGUUCUCCUGGAAAGGCGUUGAUGCUGCUACAGGACGUGUCGUGGUUGGAAUUAUACCAUGGCUAUUUUUGACCUCUCGUGUCAGCAAAUUAUUGUCCCAAAAACUCGCCCCCAUAUUUCUGCACUAG